GAGUUUGAUCCUGGCUCAGAACGAACGCUGGCGGCAUGCCUAACACAUGCAAGUCGAACGCUAAGCCAUCUUCGGAUGGUGGAAAGUGGCGCACGGGUGAGUAACACGUGGGGACCUACCUGAUAGUAAGGGACAACAGUUGGAAACGACUGCUAAUACCUUAUACGCUCUUCGGAGGAAAGAUUUAUCGCUAUCAGAUGGACCCGCGCUAGAUUAGAUAGUUGGUGAGGUAAUGGCUCACCAAGUCUGCGAUCUAUAGCUGGUUUGAGAAGAUGAUCAGCCACAUUGGAACUGAGACACGGUCCAGACUCCUACGGGAGGCAGCAGUGGGGAAUAUUGUACAAUGGACGCAAGUCUGAUACAGCAAUGCCGCGUGAGUGAAGAAGGCCUUAGGGUUGUAAAACUCUUUCGCUAGGGAAGAUAAUGACGGUACCUAGUAAAGAAGUCCCGGCUAACUCCGUGCCAGCAGCCGCGGUAAUACGGAGGGGACUAGCGUUGUUCGGAAUUACUGGGCGUAAAGAGUUCGUAGGCGGAUAAGCAAGUAAGAGGUGAAAGCCCAGGGCUCAACCUUGGAACUGCCUUUUAAACUGCUUAUCUAGAGACCGAUAGAGGUUAGGGGAAUACCUAGUGUAGAGGUGAAAU
This 642-nucleotide ribosomal RNA is filed under the name uncultured bacterium. RNAcentral describes it as "bacterial SSU rRNA". It matches the Rfam family "Bacterial small subunit ribosomal RNA", at positions 9 to 687 of the family's 1533-position model. The record is from RNAcentral.